This 29-nucleotide non-coding RNA is filed under the name Homo sapiens (human). The record is from RNAcentral. Lineage: Eukaryota; Metazoa; Chordata; Mammalia; Primates; Hominidae.
UCCUUCAGAUUAGACAUAGGUCCUGCCUU